Molecule: long non-coding RNA, 2056 nt
Filed under: Homo sapiens (human)
Lineage: Eukaryota; Metazoa; Chordata; Mammalia; Primates; Hominidae
Description: PREDICTED lncRNA (TCONS_00271574)
Source: RNAcentral
GAGACCAAUUUGGCCUGGGGAGAACCGCCUUCAGGCGUUUGGACUCAGUGGAGGUUGUGAGUGCCCAGCAGUGUGGCCUGAAUCUCCGUGGGGUUUAGGGAGACGAAAGGACCCCAGAUCGACGUCCCCUCGUUCCCACUUUGGGGAUCGGCGCUCUGGCUGUUUCGUGAAGGAGAGAGAGGUUGAUUCCAUACCCUGGCUAUUGUGAAUAAUGCUGCAGUGAACAUGGGAGUACAUACAUCUGUUUGAGGAACUCAGAGUGGUUUUCCAGAUGGGAAUCACAUUGCUCUCUGUCCCUGAGAUCUUGCUGGAGACAGGGCUACUCAGUCCCUCUUUGCCAGAUUGAUACUGGAAAAGCAGUUUCUAUUGAGCCCCCAAAUGAAGAGUGAGUGCAGAUGAAGAGGAGGCAGGACUCACAAGCCCUUGAACUUUAUUCCAGAUCUGUUAGCACCUACAGGACCCUGCACCAGGAUUUCAUCUGUACUAUCAGCUUCUUCAAAGAGAGAGAGGUUGUUGACUCUUCAUGUGGAUGUCUGAGCUCAUAUCAGGUGUCUGAAAGAGGCAGAUUCUGAGGAUUUGGGUCAUGAUGGCUGCCAAAGCUUCUACUCCUGACUUAAAGGGCAACAAUCCUAGGAGACCACCAGCACUUACAUCCCUGGUAGGACAUGACACCUGCUUAUGGCUCAGAAGUGACAAAAGAGAAUUAUCAGGAUGGCAGUCCUUAUAACCAGAUGCUUAUCAACAUUCUUCACUACAUUCUGAAGAUGAAUUUCUACAAGGGAAAUUGUUUAUAUUUGUUGUUGGGGAUAGAUAAGGAAAGAAGAAAAAGGCUCUGGUGAGAAACCCAUUGUACCUUCUGGAUAUGAUCACUACCCAAUUUUAUCAGUGUCAUUGAUCACUAACCCAGUGCCUCGUAUGGUGCCAGGCACAGAGUUACUCCAAGAAUGUACAAUAAUGGCUGGAUUCUCUUUCUCCCUGUGCAACUCUUCAUGCAUGUGACUGAACUUAUAUUAAGUGUCUGAAGGAGGUUCGUUCUGAGGAUCUGGGACAUGAUGGGUGCUGAAGCUUCUACUCAAGAUUUGAAGGGCAGCUGUCCUCAGGAGACCCCUGGCACUUCCCUCCAUGGUGGGAUGUGAUGCCUGAUUCCAGUGAGUUCAUAGAGCUGAACAAAAGUACGUUGUGGAAUAGCUCCUGUGAGGUUCACAACAUAGUCCGGAAGAUGAGAAACUACUUUUUUUAGUAACCUGGAUUCCCAUCUAAGAGAUGCCUUACUUUAUCGUAAAGCAAUGAGUUGUUCACUUGAGGAGGGAACUUCAUGUUUAACAUGUAUUUGCAACAAAUUUACAUACAUUUUCUGCCUGUAUGAAUAGUUGUCAGUGAUGCCCAUGAAUUUCUCAGAUGGAUGUUGAAGUAUACAGUUAGAAGGUUAGAAGAUCUUCCUAGCAAUCUGUGAUUACGGUAUGCAUUCUUCCAUGGUUUCUACGUUUUUGUCUAUUCUAUAAUGAAAUUUUCUAAGAAGCCAGAAAUUAAUUAAGUGCUACCUAAAAAUAUCAAAAUGUCAGGUACAAGAAUUUGGCAUUUUCAAAAUUAGUAAUUACAAUGUAAGUUUGCCCUAUUAUAAUGAUACCCAGCUAUGUCCAGUAACAUAACUAGAUUGUUCUGAAUACCGUUAUUAUUUCCCAAUAAUACAAACAUCACAAUUUCAGUUCUGUAGUACCUGGCCUACCUACCCUUCCCACUGCCUUGCCCCAGGUAAACACAGCAUGCCUGUCACUAUACAUUAUUUUACAUGCCUGGAAAUAUAUUUAAAUGGAAUCAUAGAGGUGGUUUCUUUUUUUUUUUUUUAUCAACACCUGGCUUUUUUCAUUCACUCCACUUAUUUUUAUAUUUAUCCAUUUUAUUGCAUUUAUCUAUUGAUAUACUUCAUUCUUUUUGAUUGCUAAAUACUAUUGCGGUAUACAACCACACUAAACAUUUUAUUAUCCAUCCAUUUGUCGAUGGACAUUUUGGUUGUUUCUCAUUUGGGGCUCUUGUAAAUAAAGCUGCUAUGAACAUU